UACGGAGGAUGCGAGCGUUAUCCGGAUUUAUUGGGUUUAAAGGGUGCGCAGGCGGCACGGCAAGCCGGCGGUCAAAUCGCGGGGCUCAACCCCGCCCAGCCGUCGGAACUGCCGGGCUAGAGUGGGCGAGAAGUGCGCGGAAUGCGUGGUGUAGCGGUGAAAUGCGUAGAUAUUAGGAGGAACACCAGUGGCGAAGGCGGUCUGCUGGACAGCAACUGACGCUGAGGCGCGAAAGCGUGGGGAGCAAACAGG
Molecule: ribosomal RNA, 252 nt
Filed under: uncultured bacterium
Lineage: Bacteria
Description: partial 16S ribosomal RNA
Rfam family: Bacterial small subunit ribosomal RNA
Source: RNAcentral